This 250-nucleotide unclassified non-coding RNA is filed under the name plant metagenome. Its description in RNAcentral is "partial contains small subunit ribosomal RNA, internal transcribed spacer 1, and 5.8S ribosomal RNA". The stretch from base 202 to 250 matches the Rfam family "5.8S ribosomal RNA", at positions 1 to 49 of the family's 154-position model. The record is from RNAcentral.
UCUCCGUAGGUGAACCUGCGGAGGGAUCAUUACAGAGUUCAUGCCCUCCGGGUAGAUCUCCCACCCAUUGCUAUAACUACUCUCGCUGCUUUGGCGGGCCGCUGGGCCCUGCCCGGCCGCCGGCCCCGGCUGGCGCGUGCCCGCCAGAGACCUCACAAACUCUGAAUGUUAGUGUCGUCCGAGUAACUAUACAAUCGUUAAAACUUUCAACAACGGAUCUCUUGGUUCUGACAUCGAUGAAGAACGCAGC